This 1351-nucleotide ribosomal RNA is filed under the name Janthinobacterium sp. OK676. RNAcentral describes it as "bacterial LSU rRNA". It matches the Rfam family "Bacterial large subunit ribosomal RNA", at positions 1583 to 2925 of the family's 2925-position model. Lineage: Bacteria; Pseudomonadati; Pseudomonadota; Betaproteobacteria; Burkholderiales; Oxalobacteraceae. The record is from RNAcentral.
UCACGAAGCAAUCGGAAGUGGUUCCAAGAAAAGCCUCUAAGCUUCAGUCAUACGAGACCGUACCGCAAACCGACACAGGUGGGCGAGAUGAGUAUUCUAAGGCGCUUGAGAGAACUCGGGAGAAGGAACUCGGCAAAUUGGUACCGUAACUUCGGGAAAAGGUACGCCCCGGUAGCUUGAUUGGUUUACUCCAUGAGGGUGAAAGGGUUGCAAUAAACUGGUGGCUGCGACUGUUUAAUAAAAACACAGCACUCUGCAAACACGAAAGUGGACGUAUAGGGUGUGACGCCUGCCCGGUGCUGGAAGAUUAAAUGAUGGGGUGCAAGCUCUUGAUUGAAGUCCCAGUAAACGGCGGCCGUAACUAUAACGGUCCUAAGGUAGCGAAAUUCCUUGUCGGGUAAGUUCCGACCUGCACGAAUGGCGUAACGAUGGCCACACUGUCUCCUCCCGAGACUCAGCGAAGUUGAAAUGUUUGUGAUGAUGCAAUCUACCCGCGGCUAGACGGAAAGACCCCAUGAACCUUUACUGUAGCUUUGCAUUGGACUUUGAACCAAUCUGUGUAGGAUAGGUGGGAGGCUUUGAAGCGGGGACGCUAGUUCUCGUGGAGCCAACCUUGAAAUACCACCCUGGUUUGUUUGAGGUUCUAACCUUGGUCCGUUAUCCGGAUCGGGGACAGUGCAUGGUAGGCAGUUUGACUGGGGCGGUCUCCUCCUAAAGUGUAACGGAGGAGUUCGAAGGUACGCUAGAUACGGUCGGACAUCGUGUUGAUAGUGCAAUGGCAUAAGCGUGCUUAACUGCGAGACUGACAAGUCGAGCAGGUACGAAAGUAGGACAUAGUGAUCCGGUGGUUCUGUAUGGAAGGGCCAUCGCUCAACGGAUAAAAGGUACUCUGGGGAUAACAGGCUGAUUCCUCCCAAGAGUUCAUAUCGACGGGGGAGUUUGGCACCUCGAUGUCGGCUCAUCACAUCCUGGGGCUGUAGCCGGUCCCAAGGGUAUGGCUGUUCGCCAUUUAAAGUGGUACGUGAGCUGGGUUUAAAACGUCGUGAGACAGUUUGGUCCCUAUCUGCCGUGGGCGUUGGAAAUUUGAAGGGGGCUGCUCCUAGUACGAGAGGACCGGAGUGGACGAACCUCUGGUGUACCGGUUGUCACGCCAGUGGCAUUGCCGGGUAGCUAAGUUCGGAAGAGAUAACCGCUGAAAGCAUCUAAGCGGGAAACUUGCCUUGAGAUGAGAUUUCCCAGAGCCUUGAGCUCUUUGAAGGGUCGUUCGAGACCAGGACGUUGAUAGGCUGGGUGUGGAAGUGCAGUAAUGCAUUAAGCUAACCAGUACUAAUUGCCCGUACGGCUUGUCCCU